GAUGAACGCUAGCGACAGGCCUAACACAUGCAAGUCGAGGGGCAGCACAUGAGUAGCAAUACGAUGGUGGCGACCGGCGCACGGGUGAGUAACACGUAUGCAACCUACCUGUAAGAGGGGAAUAACCCGGAGAAAUUCGGACUAACACCGCAUAAUACCUCGAAGCUGCAUGGCUUUGAGGUUAAAUAUUUAUAGCUUACAGAUGGGCAUGCGUAACAUUAGAUAGUUGGUGAGGUAACGGCUCACCAAGUCAACGAUGUUUAGGGGUUCUGAGAGGAAGGUCCCCCACACUGGUACUGAGACACGGACCAGACUCCUACGGGAGGCAGCAGUGAGGAAUAUUGGUCAAUGGGCGAGAGCCUGAACCAGCCAAGUCGCGUGAAGGAAGAAGGUUCUAUGGAUUGUAAACUUCUUUUGUAAGGGAAUAAAAAGAGUUACGUGUAACUUAUUGUAUGUACUUUACGAAUAAGGAUCGGCUAACUCCGUGCCAGCAGCCGCGGUAAA
RNAcentral lists this ribosomal RNA (504 nucleotides) under uncultured bacterium. Its description in RNAcentral is "bacterial SSU rRNA". It matches the Rfam family "Bacterial small subunit ribosomal RNA", at positions 28 to 524 of the family's 1533-position model. The record is from RNAcentral.